Molecule: transfer RNA, 99 nt
Filed under: Sphaerodactylus townsendi
Lineage: Eukaryota; Metazoa; Chordata; Lepidosauria; Squamata; Sphaerodactylidae
Description: tRNA-Thr
Rfam family: tRNA
About the family: Transfer RNA (tRNA) molecules are approximately 80 nucleotides in length. Their secondary structure includes four short double-helical elements and three loops (D, anti-codon, and T loops).
Source: RNAcentral
GAGGGCAUGGCUCAGUGGCAGAGGAUCAAUCCCUGGUAUCUUCAGAGGAUCAAUCCCUUGGCAUGCAGAAGGUCCCAGGUUCAAUCCCUGGUAUCUUCA